This 425-nucleotide ribosomal RNA is filed under the name uncultured bacterium. RNAcentral describes it as "partial 16S ribosomal RNA". It matches the Rfam family "Bacterial small subunit ribosomal RNA", at positions 354 to 796 of the family's 1533-position model. The record is from RNAcentral.
GUGGGGAAUAUUGGGCAAUGGGCGAAAGCCUGACCCAGCAACGCCGCGUGAAGGAAGAAGGUUUUCGGAUCGUAAACUUCUAUCCUUGGUGAAGAUAAUGACGGUAGCCAAGAAGGAAGCCCCGGCUAACUACGUGCCAGCAGCCGCGGUAAUACGUAGGGGGCAAGCGUUGUCCGGAAUGAUUGGGCGUAAAGGGCGCGUAGGCGGCCCGGUAAGUCUGAAGUGAAAGUCCUGCUUUUAAGGUGGGAAUUGCUUUGGAUACUGUCGGGCUUGAGUGCAGGAGAGGUAAGCGGAAUUUCCGGUGUAGCGGUGAAAUGCGUAGAGAUCGGGAGGAACACCAGUGGCGAAGGCGGCUUACUGGACUGUAACUGACGCUGAGGCGCGAAAGUGUGGGGAGCAAACAGGAUUAGAUACCCGGGUAGUCC